ACUCAAAUAGUUUAAUUUAGAAUAAUAAUUUGUGGUAUUAUAGGUAUAUAUUUUAUUUUGAGUC
This 64-nucleotide transfer RNA is filed under the name Hyalopeplus sp. RNAcentral's name for it is "tRNA-His". The record is from RNAcentral. Lineage: Eukaryota; Metazoa; Arthropoda; Insecta; Hemiptera; Miridae.